AAAUAAAAAAAACACAUUACACACACUACCAUGUAUUUGACACACACACGCAUAUUAUACUCUUUUGUUGAUUGUCAAAGACAAGUUCUUUAUUUUCAUAAUUUUUUUGUUGUCUUAAAUUCCAAUUUUUAAUUAAUGUCGAAUUUCGACCUCUGGGCGCCCACUAGUAUUAUAAAAUGACUCAUGAAAGCAAUUUAAGAUCACUGAUGCGAGUUUGGUACGAAACAAUUCAAUUUGUUUGCAAUGGAUGUUGUAAAGUAAAAUGUUCACAAAAUUACGGCAGUAUAUACGUAUUUUAAGAUAGAAUAAUUGAUGAUAACGGUAAUUGUAAAUAUAUUUUAAAUGACAACAUUAACAAUAAAAAACUCAUCAAUCAUUAUCAAAAAAUCACAUUCAUUUGUAGUAUUUAAAAAAAAAAAAAAAACGAAAAAAAAAUUUUUGGUGAUGUUUAAAUAUUUUACAUUUAAUUAAAAUCUCAAACUUAAUCCUCAUUAAAAACCGGCAUGAAUUAUAUUUAUUUGAUAUAAAACUAUAAAAUCGAUACAGCGUUCGAAUACAUAAAAGUUAAUGUUUUAAGAAUAAAUUAUAAUUAUUGACAUUCCCAAAGGUCUUCCUUAGUAUUAACAUAAAAAAUAUAUAUAAAAAUACUCUAAAUAAAAAAAAUAUAUCAUAUUAAGGGUAAAUCAUG
This 688-nucleotide unclassified non-coding RNA is filed under the name Melitaea cinxia (Glanville fritillary). RNAcentral describes it as "misc RNA ENSMCXG00005000457.1". The record is from RNAcentral. Lineage: Eukaryota; Metazoa; Arthropoda; Insecta; Lepidoptera; Nymphalidae.